CUACGGGAGGCAGCAGUGGGGAAUAUUGCACAAUGGGCGGAAGCCUGAUGCAGCAACGCCGCGUGCGGGAUGACGGCCUUCGGGUUGUAAACCGCUUUCGCCUGUGACGAAGCGUGAGUGACGGUAAUGGGUAAAGAAGCACCGGCUAACUACGUGCCAGCAGCCGCGGUGAUACGUAGGGUGCGAGCGUUGUCCGGAUUUAUUGGGCGUAAAGGGCUCGUAGGUGGUUGAUCGCGUCGGAAGUGUAAUCUUGGGGCUUAACCCUGAGCGUGCUUUCGAUACGGGUUGACUUGAGGAAGGUAGGGGAGAAUGGAAUUCCUGGUGGAGCGGUGGAAUGCGCAGAUAUCAGGAGGAACACCAGUGGCGAAGGCGGUUCUCUGGGCCUUUCCUGACGCUGAGGAGCGAAAGCGUGGGGAGCGAACAGGCUUAGAUACCCUGGUAGUCCACGCUGUAAACGGUGGGUACUAGGUGUGGGGUCCAUUCCACGGGUUCCGUGCCGUAGCUAACGCUUUAAGUACCCCGCCUGGGGAGUACGGCCGCAAGGCUAAAACUCAAAGGAAUUGACGGGGCCCCGCACAAGCGGCGGAGCAUGCGGAUUAAUUCGAUGCAACGCGUAGAACCUUACCUGGGUUUGACAUGGAUCGGGAGUGCUCAGAGAUGGGUGUGCCUCUUUUGGGGUCGGUUCACAGGUGGUGCAUGGCUGUCGUCAGCUCGUGUCGUGAGAUGUUGGGUUAAGUCCCGCAACGAGCGCAACCCUUGUUCACUGUUGCCAGCACGUUAUGGUGGGGACUCAGUGGAGACCGCCGGGGUCAACUCGGAGGAAGGUGGGGAUGACGUCAAGUCAUCAUGCCCCUUAUGUCCAGGGCUUCACGCAUGCUACAAUGGCUGGUACAGAGAGUGGCGAGCCUGUGAGGGUGAGCGAAUCUCGGAAAGCCGGUCUCAGUUCGGAUUGGGGUCUGCAACUCGACCUCAUGAAGUCGGAGUCGCUAGUAAUCGCAGAUCAGCAACGCUGCGGUGAAUACGUUCCCGGGGCUUGCACACACCGCCCGU
RNAcentral lists this ribosomal RNA (1050 nucleotides) under uncultured bacterium. RNAcentral's name for it is "bacterial SSU rRNA". It matches the Rfam family "Bacterial small subunit ribosomal RNA", at positions 339 to 1397 of the family's 1533-position model. The record is from RNAcentral.